UACGUAGGGCGCAAGCGUUGUCCGGAAUUAUUGGGCGUAAAGAGCUCGUAGGCGGUUUGUCGCGUCUGCUGUGAAAACCUAAGGCUCAACCUUGGGCUUGCAGUGGGUACGGGCAGACUAGAGUGCGGGUAGGGGUGACUGGAAUUCCUGGUGUAGCGGUGGAAUGCGCAGAUAUCAGGAGGAACACCGAUGGCGAAGGCAGGUCACUGGGCCGCAACUG
This 220-nucleotide ribosomal RNA is filed under the name uncultured bacterium. RNAcentral describes it as "partial 16S ribosomal RNA". It matches the Rfam family "Bacterial small subunit ribosomal RNA", at positions 524 to 742 of the family's 1533-position model. The record is from RNAcentral.